AUUUUAUUUAAAUAAAAUUAACUAUUAAAUUAUUUUUAUAUAACUUUUAUUUAAUUAAUAAUUAGACUUAUAAAAUUAUUUAAAAAUAUAAAAAACUAAAAUUUAUUAAAAAAAAAUUUUAAUCCGCAGCAUCGCGCGGGUAUUUCACUAGUAUAAUAUAUAAUAGGGAUAAUAAUUGCCAAUAUACCUCUUAAAAUUUCCAAAACAUCUUAUUUAUUUCUAUUUUUUUCCUCCAGUAUAUCCUCAUAUGUUCCUUCGUUAUUCCAAAAUACUCAUGCAGUUACCACCCUUUAAAUUAAUUUGGGUUAAACGUGAGUUAAAUGUCCAUCAUAGUUAAAAAAAAUUAAAAUAUCAUAUUUGCCCUUAACUUUAAAGGCAAAUAAAAAAUGUUGGUGAUGAUAGAAAAGUAUAUUUGAAAAGAUCAAAAAGCAAAAUACUUUUUGUACCCCUAACUUAAGGACAAAUAAGAAAAAUCGGUGAUGGUAGAAGGGUAUAUUUGAAAAGGUAGAAUAAUAAUUUCAUAGAGAUAAUAGAGUUCAUUAACAAAUUUUAACUAUAGGGGUAUAUUAGAAAUAGAUUGGAACGUAAAAUGGGUAUUUUCAAUAUUAGCCAUCUAAGAGAGGCAAAUCAAAAAGUUUGAAACUUUUCAGGGGUAUAAAAACAAUUGCCCCUAUAUAAUAAACAAUAU
This 688-nucleotide long non-coding RNA is filed under the name Ananas comosus (pineapple). Its description in RNAcentral is "long non-coding RNA (ACOM_LNC007097)". Lineage: Eukaryota; Viridiplantae; Streptophyta; Magnoliopsida; Poales; Bromeliaceae. The record is from RNAcentral.